GAUGAACGCUGGCGGCGUGCCUAAUACAUGCAAGUCGAGCGAACAGACGAGGAGCUUGCUCCUCUGACGUUAGCGGCGGACGGGUGAGUAACACGUGGAUAACCUACCUAUAAGACUGUGAUAACUUCGGGAAACCGGAGCUAAUACCGGAUAAUAUAUUGAACUGCAUGGUUCAAUAGUGAAAGACGGUUUUGCUGUCACUUAUAGCUUGAUCCGCGCCGCAUUAGCUAGUUGGUAAGGUAAGGGAUUACCGAGGCAACGACGGGUAGCCGACCUGAGAGGGGGAUCGGCCAAGCUGGAACUGAGACACGGUCCAGAAUACUACGGGAGGGAGCAGUAGGGAAUCUUCCGCGAUGGGCGAAAGCCUGACGGAGCAACGCCGCGUGAGUGAUGAAGGUCUUCGGAUCGUAAAACUCUGUUAGGAGGGAAGAACAAAUGUGUAAGUAACUAUGCACGUCUUGACGGUACCUAAUCAGAAAGCCACGGCUAACUACGUG
This 497-nucleotide ribosomal RNA is filed under the name uncultured bacterium. Its description in RNAcentral is "partial 16S ribosomal RNA". It matches the Rfam family "Bacterial small subunit ribosomal RNA", at positions 28 to 507 of the family's 1533-position model. The record is from RNAcentral.